This 28-nucleotide unclassified non-coding RNA is filed under the name Mus musculus (house mouse). RNAcentral's name for it is "oocyte_clustered_small_RNA10611". The record is from RNAcentral. Lineage: Eukaryota; Metazoa; Chordata; Mammalia; Rodentia; Muridae.
UAGGCCGGUGUAAGGGAUUUGCACAGUA